CAGAAAAUAGUUUAGUGAAAAUGUCAGCUUUGGGAGCUGGAGAUGGAGGUUUGAAUCCUUUUUUUCUGA
RNAcentral lists this transfer RNA (69 nucleotides) under Podargus strigoides (tawny frogmouth). It matches the Rfam family "tRNA". Rfam says of the family: Transfer RNA (tRNA) molecules are approximately 80 nucleotides in length. Their secondary structure includes four short double-helical elements and three loops (D, anti-codon, and T loops). Further hydrogen bonds mediate the characteristic L-shaped molecular structure. tRNAs have two regions of fundamental functional importance: the anti-codon, which is responsible for specific mRNA codon recognition, and the 3' end, to which the tRNAs corresponding amino acid is attached (by aminoacyl-tRNA synthetases). tRNAs cope with the degeneracy of the genetic code in two manners: having more than one tRNA (with a specific anti-codon) for a particular amino acid; and 'wobble' base-pairing, i.e. permitting non-standard base-pairing at the 3rd anti-codon position. RNAcentral also lists the same sequence under 3 other names. The record is from Rfam by way of RNAcentral. Lineage: Eukaryota; Metazoa; Chordata; Aves; Caprimulgiformes; Podargidae.